GGAACAAAGGACGAACCCCCUGGAAAUCUAACUUGGCUGCGUUUGUUUCUCAUAUUUUAGUUAUUGGAAGCUUGUUGACAGAAUAUUUAGUGAAGUUUGUCUGCAGUUUUCUGGUUGCCUGCUUCCGUUUCAGCAUGUAUUAUGUCCAACAUAAUGUAUGGAAAUUAUUUUCUGCUAGAUUAUGCUGUCAUUUUUUUAUUUGAACUGAUUAGGUACCUUUCUGUUCCAAAGAACUAAUUCGCCCUUUACCAUGAGUAUAAAUUAGAAAACGCCAUUAAUGUGAGAUUGUCUGUGUCUGAAGCCUUUAGAUCCUCCAGCAAAGCUUCCGAGCGAGAAUUUGGAGCUGGGCAUGCUGUUUGGAUGGCUGCCGAGCUUGCCAAUAGUACAUCAGGUUGUCAAAAAAAUGGUUACAAACCUUUAGAAUAACUUUUAAUAUGUUGAUUCAAAUUUGGCCUGUCCAUGGCCAGACGUGAUUGGGAGUUGGGACGUCUGGGCGUGCAUUUGUGACUUGUGAGUAGCAGUAGCCAUGUGUGUAUGCAUUAUGAAAUGGGAAUGAGAUCCUCUGCCUCUGAACCUUUACAUUUGAAUCCCUGUCACGUGGAUUUAGAUUCUGUCAUGAGGACCCAGAUUCGGUGGAGGCCCCAAAGUUAGAGGAACCACUUCCAUAAAAUGCGUGUGUGCGUCAAAAUUUUAAAGAAAUCAACUGAGCAUUCAAGAGAGCUCCUAUAAUUUAAUACUCCCUCCGUCCACGAGAAUAAACACUUUAAAUGUUCUUGUAAAAUAUUUUAAAGAAUAAACACUUUAAAUGUUCUUGUCAAAUAUUUUAAACUUUGAUAAAUAAAUAGCAAAAGUAAUCGUAAAGAUUAAUAACGUAAUAAAAAAACAUCAUAACAUGUAACUCUUUAUUGAAAUGACUUUUUACAUAUAUUAUUGAUCAAAAUUAAAAUUUUUAUUAGAAUAAGGGAAAAAAGUGUGUUAUUCUCCAAUAAUUUGAAAGUUUUCAAAACGAAAAAAAAAAA
This 1019-nucleotide long non-coding RNA is filed under the name Setaria viridis. RNAcentral describes it as "long non-coding RNA (SVIR_LNC007188)". Lineage: Eukaryota; Viridiplantae; Streptophyta; Magnoliopsida; Poales; Poaceae. The record is from RNAcentral.